AACCUAUCAGGGCGCCGUGGGGAUUGUUGAUGAUGUUGGUCAUUCUAUGCUUUAACCGAUCGAACAAUAGCUAGUUUUAUAGUCCUAUAUAUAUUCUUAGGAACACGGGCGCCACGAAAGCAAAAACCACACAAUGGUACCCUGCGCAACGCGGAAACUUUAAGAAUGCAAAAACGUGUGCGCUUUAGCUAGAACGUGCGUCCGCGAAAAGGAGUUGUAAUGCAUUGUCCGCAUUAAGUCUAUAUAUGCGUCACUGUGUGGGACAAGGUUUACCGUUGUUGUUGGAUUCUUGUUGCUUUAGAAAACUCACUGGCGAUUCCAAAAUGGGUGGCACACCAAGGCGUCGCCUCGGAAGCUCUCCAAACCGCUGCAAAGGGAGAUGUGCCUCGAGAAAUUCACGAAAGCUCACAACACCAGAGGACGUCGCACGCAAGAGGUCAACUGAGCGUUGCGGACGGCCACUAUCGAUCCCCCGGUGCCAGUUCUCGGGAUCUCCAGUUCGUUCCGUUUCCAAAUUCACUGGGUUGGAACCAACACCGGAGUGAAGCGGCUCCCUUUUUCUACGGAACAGGAACCACAAACGGACAACCGGGACCCUCUUAUGUAGAUGCACCUCGAGAUCACCAAACGUUGCCUAAUUUCCCAUGGAAUAGACCGACACAGCAGUAUCCGGAUCUUGUGCCGUACGUGACUAAUCCGUCCUACGGGGUCGGGCUCAUUGUGCCAAACUACUGAACUGAAGAAACGUCAGUUAUUGUGAAUGUUUUCAUUUGAUGUCUUACUACAGCAGCGCUCUGCCGGUGACUUCUUGAACGUUCCCGCUUGUAUGUAGUGAGGCAGUUCAAUGAUAUACUGUUACCGGAGAUUUAUAAAGAGAGUGCAGGGCACAGGGACGAUAGUCAGUUUUUGGAAAGGGUUCUGGAGUUUGGUUUUCGCAAGGUCGUGUCUGGGCAGUUGAAGAAAUGGAAACAAAAUGACCUAGUGCAACGUGUAGUGUGGAAGAUCUGAAGGAGAC
Molecule: long non-coding RNA, 1015 nt
Filed under: Toxoplasma gondii VEG
Lineage: Eukaryota; Apicomplexa; Conoidasida; Eucoccidiorida; Sarcocystidae
Source: RNAcentral